This 301-nucleotide ribosomal RNA is filed under the name uncultured bacterium. Its description in RNAcentral is "partial 16S ribosomal RNA". It matches the Rfam family "Bacterial small subunit ribosomal RNA", at positions 509 to 809 of the family's 1533-position model. The record is from RNAcentral.
CAGUAGCCGCGGUAAUACGUAGGUGGCAAGCGUUGUCCGGAUUUAUCGGGCGUAAAGGGAGCGCAGGCGGGCGAGUAAGUCUUUCUUAAAAGUGCGGGGCUCAACCCCGUGAGGGGAGAGAAACUACUCAUCUUGAGUGCAGGAGAGGAAAGCGGAAUUCCUAGUGUAGCGGUGAAAUGCGUAGAUAUUAGGAAGAACACCAGUGGCGAAGGCGGCUUUCUGGACUGUAACUGACGCUGAGGCUCGAAAGCCAGGGGAGCGAACGGGAUUAGAUACCCGUGUAGUCCCUGUCUCUUAUACA